Papaver somniferum (opium poppy) is the source of this 376-nucleotide long non-coding RNA. RefSeq lists it as uncharacterized. Lineage: Eukaryota; Viridiplantae; Streptophyta; Magnoliopsida; Ranunculales; Papaveraceae. The record is from RefSeq and is a predicted model, not a curated record. The transcript is spliced from 4 exons.
GAUUAAAAGUUCAAACCGUAUUACUUCGUCUGUCUCUUCGUUUUUAAUUCCGGUGUGAAGAAAAUUAGAAGAACAAUUCCGGUGCGAGUAGCGGCUUAAAGGAUUUUCUUCAUCUCCCACCAAACCUUCAUAGCGAGUAGCGGCUUAAAGGAUUCACUGCAAUCACCGCCAAAGAUUGAGACCAAUUGAGAGCAAUUGCCUGACAAGUAAAAUCAAGGUACAUUAUCAAAGGCAGGAGCCGCAGGACUGCAUCAAUUGCACAAGGAAGUGCCAACUUUGUCAGUGAUGGAAAUAUGGCGUCAUUUCACUCGGAGAAAUGUUGAAGAACCCUCUUGCAAUUACUGUGGAAGGACUUAUAGGGCUAACAUGUCCAGAA